AUGCAUGUCUAAGCACAUACUUUAACACAGUGAAGCUGCGAAUGGCUCAUUAGAUCGGCUAUUAUUUAUUAGAUCAUACCCACGGUACUUGGAUAACUGUGGUAAUUCUAGAGCUAAUACAUGACACAAAGCUCAGACCUUCGGGGACGGGCGAGUUUAUUAGACCAAAACCAAUCGGGCCCUGCGGCUCGGCAGUUGGUGACUCUGGAUAACAUUGAUCUGAUCGCACGGCCUUGCGCCGGCGACCUAUCUUUCAAGUGUCCGCCCUAUCAACUAGUCGGUAAGUGACCUGCUUACCGAGGUUGUGACGGGUAACGGGGAAUCAGGGUUCGAUUCCGGAGAGGGAGCAUGAGAAACGGCUACCACA
This 367-nucleotide ribosomal RNA is filed under the name Aspidosiphon sp. USNM IZ 1448006. Its description in RNAcentral is "SSU rRNA". It matches the Rfam family "Eukaryotic small subunit ribosomal RNA", at positions 51 to 414 of the family's 1831-position model. Lineage: Eukaryota; Metazoa; Annelida; Sipuncula; Aspidosiphonidormes; Aspidosiphonidae. The record is from RNAcentral.